AGUGAACGCUGGCGGUAGGCCUAACACAUGCAAGUCGAACGGCAGCACAGUAAUAGCUUGCUCUUACGGGUGGCGAGUGGCGGACGGGUGAUGAAUACAUCGGAAUCUACUUUUUCGUGGGGGAUAACGUAGGGAAACUUACGCUAAUACCGCAUACGACCUACGGGUGAAAGCAGGGGAUCUUCGGACCUUGCGCGAUUGAAUGAGCCGAUGUCGGAUUAGCUAGUUGGCGGGGUAAAGGCCCACCAAGGCGACGAUCCGUAGCUGGUCUGAGAGGAUGAUCAGCCACACUGGAACUGAGACACGGUCCAGACUCCUACGGGAGGCAGCAGUGGGGAAUAUUGGACAAUGGGCGCAAGCCUGAUCCAGCCAUACCGCGUGGGUGAAGAAGGCCUUCGGGUUGUAAAGCCCUUUUGUUGGGAAAGAAAAGCAGCAGGUUAAUACCCCGCUGUUCUGACGGUACCAAAAGAAUAAGCACCGGCUAACUUCGUG
RNAcentral lists this ribosomal RNA (492 nucleotides) under uncultured bacterium. RNAcentral's name for it is "partial 16S ribosomal RNA". It matches the Rfam family "Bacterial small subunit ribosomal RNA", at positions 29 to 507 of the family's 1533-position model. The record is from RNAcentral.